AGAGUUUGAUCAUGGCUCAGGAUGAACGCUGGCGGCGUGCCUAACACAUGCAAGUCGAACGAAGCUCCUGCGACAGAAUCCUUCGGGAGGAAGAUGCUUGAGACUGAGUGGCGGACGGGUGAGUAACGCGUGGGUAACCUGCCCUGUACAGGGGGACAACAGUUGGAAACGACUGCUAAUACCGCAUAAGCUUACGGUACCGCAUGGUACAGUAAGAAAAACUCCGGUGGUACAGGAUGGGCCCGCGUCUGAUUAGCUGGUUGGCGGUGUAACGGACCACCAAGGCAACGAUCAGUAGCCGGCUUGAGAGAGUGAACGGCCACAUUGGGACUGGAGACACGGACCCAAACUCCGUACGGGAGGCA
RNAcentral lists this ribosomal RNA (365 nucleotides) under uncultured bacterium. RNAcentral describes it as "bacterial SSU rRNA". It matches the Rfam family "Bacterial small subunit ribosomal RNA", at positions 8 to 350 of the family's 1533-position model. The record is from RNAcentral.